GGAGUCGGGGAGGUGGUUGCUCCUUCAAAAGAAGGGGAGGAAAGUCCGAACUCCACAGGACAGGAUGGUCGUUAACAGCGACUCCGGAUAACCGGAGGAAAGUGCCGCAGAAAACAAACCGCCUGAUUAGGUAAGGGUGAAAAGGUGAAGUAAGAGCUCACCGCUUUGAUGGUGACAUCAGAGGCAUGGCAAACCCCAUCCGGAGCAAGGCCAAAUUGGCCCUGAUGAGAUGGUCCGUCUCAAGGGGCGGGUAGACCGCUUAACCUAUGGAGCAAUCCUUGGGUCAGAUAAAUAACCACCACCCGUUGUCUCAACGGGAACAGAAUUCGGCUUACCACCGACUCCAGUU
Molecule: RNase P RNA, 349 nt
Filed under: Candidatus Aminicenantota bacterium
Lineage: Bacteria; Candidatus Aminicenantota
Description: Candidatus Aminicenantes bacterium RNase P RNA component class A
Rfam family: Bacterial RNase P class A
About the family: Ribonuclease P (RNase P) is a ubiquitous endoribonuclease, found in archaea, bacteria and eukarya as well as chloroplasts and mitochondria. Its best characterised activity is the generation of mature 5'-ends of tRNAs by cleaving the 5'-leader elements of precursor-tRNAs.
Source: RNAcentral